RNAcentral lists this ribosomal RNA (810 nucleotides) under uncultured bacterium. Its description in RNAcentral is "bacterial SSU rRNA". It matches the Rfam family "Bacterial small subunit ribosomal RNA", at positions 8 to 796 of the family's 1533-position model. The record is from RNAcentral.
AGAGUUUGAUCAUGGCUCAGAACGAACGCUGGCGGCGUGGAUAAGACAUGCAAGUCGGACGAGAUUUUCCGUUGUAGCAAUACGAUGGAAAGUCUAGUGGCGAACGGGUGCUUAACACGUGGGCAACCUGCCAGGAAGUGGGGGAUAGCUCGCCGAAAGGCGAAUUAAUACCGCAUAUGAUUAGAGUGGACAUCCAUUCGAAAUUAAAGUCGGGGCAACCUGACGCUUCUUGUGGGGCCCGCGGCCUAUCAGCUAGUUGGUGUGGUAAUGGCUCACCAAGGCUUUGACGGGUAGCUGGUCUGAGAGGACGACCAGCCACACUGGGACUGAGACACGGCCCAGACACCUACGGGUGGCAGCAGUCGAGAAUUUUUCUCAAUGGGGGAAACCCUGAAGGAGCGACGCCGCGUGGAGGAUGAAGGUCUUCGGAUUGUAAACUCCUGUCAUUGGGGAACAAUGCGCAGAUAUUAACUGUAUUUGCGUUGAUAGUACCCGAAGAGGAAGAGACGGCUAACUCUGUGCCAGCAGCCGCGGUAAUACAGAGGUCUCAAGCGUUGUUCGGAUUCAUUGGGCGUAAAGGGUGCGUAGGCGGCGCGGUAAGUCGGGUGUGAAAUCUCGGAGCUUAACUCCGAAACUGCAUUCGAUACUGCCGUGCUUGAGGACUGGAGAGGAGACUGGAAUUUACGGUGUAGCGGUGAAAUGCGUAGAUAUCGUAAGGAAGACCAGUGGCGAAGGCGGGUCUCUGGACAGUUCCUGACGCUGAGGCACGAAGGUCAGGGGAGCAAACGGGAUUAGAUACCCCAGUAGUCC